Molecule: long non-coding RNA, 1137 nt
Filed under: Phascolarctos cinereus (koala)
Lineage: Eukaryota; Metazoa; Chordata; Mammalia; Diprotodontia; Phascolarctidae
Description: lncRNA (ENSPCIG00000031522.1)
Source: RNAcentral
UCAUCCCACUGUCGCAGAGAACAUCUUUAAUGUUUUUGGCCGUCAUUUUUUCUCCUCCAUACAGAGGACUUUGUGGAUCCAAAGAAAAGCCACCUCAAUAGAGUUCUCAGCUCGGGGGUGGCUCUGCAGCCAAGGCAGGCCUUGGAGGAGGGCUCUCCCGGUUGCUGGAAAAAUCAUGCAAAGCUUCCUUGGGAUUCAGGUCAAAGCACCAAUGACAAGGGAGCUUCAAGAGAUGGAGCCAACAUGCAUUGAAGUCCCUGGGAGAUGGAACCUUAAGGACUCAGGAAAAGCUGGAAGUAUGUCCGGAGCAGAGAACUGAAUAGCAUCGGGGGAGGCUAAUGUGGCUGGAGGAGGAAACAACGUCCAAUCCAUAUAGAAAUGGAUACUCUUGUGGAAAAACAGACUGGCCAAGGUUUGUCAAGUACAAAGUGUCCCAUUUGACUGGACAUUGACCCCCUGGAAUGUGUGGCUGUGAGUAAAAAAAAAAGCCUUGGGGGAUACCUAUGGAGGGAUACCAGAUGGUAAGCUGCGGGAGAGGGCUGAAUCUAAGCAUCCGGUGUUCCUGAGAAUCCUGGAUUUGGGCCAUGCCUUUGGAUUGCUUUGGGUCUGGGAGGAGCCUUGAGUAGGCCUCCUUAUAGUUGUUUAUUGAGCCAACAAUAUAGUUGUUUUAAUGUAUUUGAUUUUUAUUCUUUUUUGCUCCUUUAUGAGUAAAGAACUGAAUAUAGUCAAACCAUAUUGGUGUGAAUGACUCCAUGGAAAUGCAGAAAGGAAAGGAAGAGGAGGAAGUUUCCUGGUCAAUAGAGGCACCACAAAUUAUCCAGGUCUAAUUAGAUAAAUCAAAAACACCACAUCUCUGGACUGACAAGGUGAGCACUGAUACCCACAAAAAGAAUGGACCGGGGGAUAGCAUAGCCAGCUCCCUGAGACCCAGAGCAAGCCCUCGGGUUCUGGGGACAUCCUCUCAGGGUGAGCAUGUGACUGCCAGUGUUUGGGCUUAUUACUGAACAAGAUCAGUCAACUGGGCAUCAGCACCCUCUGGCGGCUAAAUGUGGGGGCCCGUUAGAGUGUCAUACUUAUGGAACGCAGGAGUUCAAAAUAUUUUGGAAUUCUCACAGAUCACUGGGUUCAAUGAGGCAG